AUUAACGCUGGCGGUAUGUAUAAUACAUGCAAGUCGAACGCCCUGCACUUAGUCUACAAAAUUUGUAGGUUGAGUGCAGGGAGUGGCGAACGGGUGCGUAACACGUUGGAACAUUCCCCGAACUCAGGGAUAGCUCGCAGAAAUGCGAAUUAAUACCGGAUAGUCCCGCAAGGGUAAAGAUUUUUCGGUUCGGGAGUGGCCUGCGGCUUAUCAGCUAGUUGGUGAGGUAAUGGCUCACCAAGGCUAUGACGAGUAGCUGGUCUGAGAGGACGACCAGUCACAAUGGGACUGAGACAUGGCCCAUACUCCUACGGGAGGCAGCAGUAAAGAAUCUUUCGCAAUGGGGGAAACCCUGACGAAGCGAUACCGCGUGAAUGAUGAAGGCCGUAAGGUCGUAAAAUUCUUUUCUGAAGGAAUAAUUUUGAAGGUACUUUAGGAAUAAGCACCGGCUAACUCCGU
RNAcentral lists this ribosomal RNA (459 nucleotides) under uncultured bacterium. RNAcentral describes it as "bacterial SSU rRNA". It matches the Rfam family "Bacterial small subunit ribosomal RNA", at positions 29 to 506 of the family's 1533-position model. The record is from RNAcentral.